Alosa sapidissima (American shad) is the source of this 340-nucleotide long non-coding RNA. RefSeq lists it as uncharacterized. The record is from RefSeq and is a predicted model, not a curated record. Lineage: Eukaryota; Metazoa; Chordata; Actinopteri; Clupeiformes; Clupeidae. The transcript has 3 exons.
AUUAGGGCUGCACAAUUAUCAUAAUCGUAAUUGCAGUUGCAAUAUGAACCAACGUAAAUUACCCAAUCGCAAAAGCUACAAAUAAUCGUGCAGAAAAAUUAGAUAUUAGAUUAGCAAUUAGAUAUUUUCCUGAAAUCGUGCAGCCCUAGUUUGUAUACGUUAUCUUCCGGUCCUCUCAUUGGUCUUAUUUUCUUGGAGGCAUUUUUCUGUUGACAUUCCUUCUGUGCCGGGACCACACAGUGACAGUACAUGGAGCUGGUCACUUAGUGCCUGUUUGGAGAGAGGGUGUGUGCUUGUGCAGAGUGAAUGCGUAGUGUCUGUCUGGAGAUAGUGUGUGUGU